CAGAUUCAUCACUGUACCUCAGGGAUAAUUAGACAAGUCUUUAUACAUGUAGAAGUUAUCAUUUAGAUCAAGUCUAGACUUGAUCUAAAUGAUAACGAUUAUAUCAGCUGAUAUAAACUCCUUUAUUAAAGGUUACAAAUACUGUUAAUAGUACCAAGUCUGAUUUCCAAAUAUUUCCUAGAACAUUAGGUUUGGUUUUAUGGAUUCUUUUGCUGAUGCAAGUAUACAAAUUUAAAAAAAAUAUAUAAAUACUCGGGAAGGCAACAGACUGUACUUCAAGGACAAUGAGACAAUUCUUGAUAAUAGAAGAAUGCAUUUAGAUCAAGUCAGAUAUUAAAGAAACUUUUAAUGCAACAAGUUGGAUUUGCAAAUGUUAUAUAAUUCCUAAAAAUAUAAAUAUAGAUUCUGAGAAUCCAGUGCAACGUGCCUAUUCACAUAUCCUGCCUGCAAUAGACUACUCUGACUUCUGAUUUUUAAUGUCGUUACACUGGAUCAUCUUCUCAGUUCUGAAUCCUGCUAUAGGCCAUCUCCAACACAGACUUUUGGAAUAGUCUAACUGAACAUCUCACAGUUUCACACAGACCUUAUACACAAGUUUUUGUCAAAUUAUCCACUUUCAUCUAUUGAUAAAGUCUA
Ctenocephalides felis (cat flea) is the source of this 636-nucleotide long non-coding RNA. RefSeq lists it as uncharacterized. Lineage: Eukaryota; Metazoa; Arthropoda; Insecta; Siphonaptera; Pulicidae. The record is from RefSeq and is a predicted model, not a curated record. The transcript is spliced from 3 exons.